This 476-nucleotide ribosomal RNA is filed under the name uncultured bacterium. RNAcentral's name for it is "bacterial SSU rRNA". It matches the Rfam family "Bacterial small subunit ribosomal RNA", at positions 26 to 518 of the family's 1533-position model. The record is from RNAcentral.
AGGACGAACGCUGGCGGCGUGCCUAACACAUGCAAGUCGAGCGAGGAGAUCCUUCGGGAUGAUCCUAGCGGCGGACGGGUGAGUAACACGUGGGCAACCUGCCUCAUAGAGAGGAAUAGCCUUCCGAAAGGGAGAUUUAAUACCUCAUAACAUUGCAGUUUCGCAUGGAACAGCAAUUAAAGGAGUAAUCCGCUAUGAGAUGGGCCCGCGGCGCAUUAGCUAGUUGGUGAGGUAACGGCUCACCAAGGCGACGAUGCGUAGCCGACCUGAGAGGGUGAUCGGCCACAUUGGGACUGAGACACGGCCCAGACUCCUACGGGAGGCAGCAGUGGGGAAUAUUGCACAAUGGGGGAAACCCUGAUGCAAGCAACGCCGCGUGAGUGAUGACGGCCUUCGGGUUGUAAAGCUCUGUCUUCAGGGACGAUAAUGACGGUACCUGAGGAGGAAGCCACGGCUAACUACGUGCCAGCCGCAGC